Halichondria panicea is the source of this 1083-nucleotide long non-coding RNA. RefSeq lists it as uncharacterized. The transcript has 2 exons. The record is from RefSeq and is a predicted model, not a curated record. NCBI's taxonomy places the organism in Eukaryota, Metazoa, Porifera, Demospongiae, Suberitida, Halichondriidae.
AUCACAUGUGCAAGCCCAUGAUGAGAUCGGUACCAGAGAGAUCUUCUGAGUAGUCUAAGAGGCCUAGCGCCUAAGCCUGUGAGCAAUGUACAGGAUUGACCAAGAAAGAACAUACCAAAGCGUACAAAAAAGUGACAAGAGAGACUUGUCACAACGUCAUUAACCCAUGCAGCCUCAGGUGUACGUAAACAAUGAACUUUUUACAGAAAUUGUCGAUUGAUUCCACCUCUACACUAUAAACGACUGUGAAAAAGAAAAAGAAAAUUUCUCGAGGGACAGGCAUGAGCGGGAAGAUCAAGGGGCUGUCAACAAAGUGAAAUCUUCAACUUAAAAUCAAGCAUUCGUACGACAUUGCUUCGAUAGGUAUACUAUGUGGUUCUGCAUGCAUGCAUGGAGACAUACUACGAGUAUAACUCUGCAUCAGCCAUGUGAUCCAUUACCAACAAUUGUUAUACCAUAUAAAUACCGUAUAGAGGGUAAUUUUCGUGGGGCAAAAUAUUUGUGGUUUUUGUGGUUGAAGGUGGUAUGACCACGAAUAUUUUACCCACGAAUGAAGCAACCUUGCCUACCUUUACCUGCAGUGCAAGCAGCAACCACAAAAAUAAUAUCCACAAAAUGACUAAAACUGCUCAACCACGAAUAUUUUGUCCCCCGAAAAUUUUCUGCUCACGAAUGCAUGUAAGUGAUAUUCAUUUAUCUCAACACAACUGUUGCAAUAAUGUACACAUAAUGAUGUCGAUGAUGCUAGACUAUAAGUAUGAAAGAUCGAGGUUUCUCAACAUUUGUUUAUCCUAAAUCUAUCAUACGACAACAACUGUCCUUGAAUCAGACACUGCACAAUCCAGGUAUGACUCAGAAUACACAAUGUGUCCAAGCUUGAUUGGUGCUGUAGAGAGGGUGAGAUUUGGUCCGGGUGCUCCGCUACUACCACAACACUGCCCGAAUCUGUACAGAGCAGAGGAGGUGCCAGUGGGUGAUGGUGAAACUCAUACCAAGCAUCAUAAUUUAUAGCUGUACUAGAAUCAGAAUUUGACAAUAAUAAUUAUCAGUUAUGAAACAGCAAAGAUAUGUCUCAAUGAAAGA